AACGAACGCUGGCGGCAUGCCUAACACAUGCAAGUCGAACGAGACCUUCGGGUCUAGUUGCGCACGGGUGCGUAACGCGUGGGAACCUGCCCUUAGGUUCGGAAUAACUCCCCGAAAGGGGUGCUAAUACCGGAUAAUGUCUUCGGACCAAAGAUUUAUCGCCUUUGGAUGGGCCCGCGUUGGAUUAGCUAGUUGGUAGGGUAAAAGCCUACCAAGGCGACGAUCCAUAGCUGGUCUGAGAGGAUGAUCAGCCACACUGGGACUGAGACACGGCCCAGACUACUACGGGAGGCAGCAGUGGGGAAUAUUGGACAAUGGGCGAAAGCCUGAUCCAGCAAUGCCGCGUGAGUGAUGAAGGCCUUAGGGUUGUAAAGCUCUUUUACCCGGGAUGAUAAUGACAGUACCGGGAGAAUAAGCUCCGGCUAACUCCGUG
RNAcentral lists this ribosomal RNA (433 nucleotides) under uncultured bacterium. RNAcentral describes it as "partial 16S ribosomal RNA". It matches the Rfam family "Bacterial small subunit ribosomal RNA", at positions 29 to 507 of the family's 1533-position model. The record is from RNAcentral.